GCGAGAGAGAGCGAGGGAGAGAGAGAGAGAGAGAGAGAGAAGGAGGGAGGAAGUCAAAAAAGAGAGGAACGCAGUGAGAGAUGAGACAAGAAGAAAGAAAAAGGAGAUGCAGGAAAAAAGACGGAGAACCGCGUGUGACAACGAGCGAUGAGGUGAAGGUGUAAGGUCUGAGAGGACACGCUCCACCUCAAGCAACCCCGACUGCUACAUCUGCAACCUGCUGGAGGAGAUUAUCAUCCCUCCACCUUUCCUCCUCGGCCACGCAUCCAUCCAUCCGUCCAUCCGUCCGUGCCUCGACCCCUUCCAGUCCCUGAGGCCACCUUGGUAAUUGUGUUAAGUCCCUGAUUGCAGAUGUCUCUCAUCACGGGAACCAGACGCAGUGCUGGCCAGACAGCCUCUUGCACAUGUGCAUGCACAUACACACAUCCAGACGGCGCUAUCAAAUGUAGCACAGACUCUUAAAAAAAUAAAAAAGAAGUAGAUGCAGGCAAAUCAGCCUCAUGUCGACAUUCCCCCACGGGAGCGAGAGAGACUAAACUCCAGUCUGGGACGGAGACGGCCUUAAUCAGCGAAGGAGACAGUGACAGAGCGAACACUGAAAAGCGUGCACGCAUACUUUUACACACAUAGUCACACCUCUGGGAAAUGUCUUGGUCCUACAGCGUGGAAAUCCCUCAAACAGGCAGAAAAUAACUGGGGCGAGCCAAACGCACACGCGCGCGCACAGAGUGUACGUGAAUAUGCAGAGAGGAUAACACGCUUUCCUCGACUGUAAUUGCAGCUCUGAGGGAACACCCCCGUGGCUGUUUCUACACAGUCGACACGCAGAAGGAAGGAGAGAGGGUGUCGUGGAAAUGCAAAAGGGAAGUGCUGGAAAGCGUGAGAGAUGAGGAAAGGUUCGCAGCGAGUGCACGAGUGUUGCCGCCACCAGGAAAAAUCAAAACAGCAACCGGGAGACAGUGAAGGGAGGAUUCCACCAGUGCUGCCUCGAGACCAGGAAUCUCCCUCGUUCCACAUGAAAAAAAACAAAAAACAACCUUAGUUACUAAAAAUGGCCAGAGGCUUGCAGGAGAUGGAUCUGAUAAGCUAACAUUUCUUGGAAAUGAGAGGGUGAAGCGCUUCUUUCAUGUCUACUUUCCGAGGAGGACACUGUUUUACCUCGCUCUCGUUUUUUCAGUCCUCCAUUAUAAAUCCCAAGGUGGAUGUACGUAGAAUGUAGAAUAUAUAAAGUAUGUAGAAUCUGCAGAACACGACAUCGCGAGUCCGAGUACUUUAAAGCAGACAGCUUUUAUUGGGAAGAAGUUCACUUUAUUUUCUGAAUGCCGCCUUUCAGCUUUUGAGUGGCUGUGAGUGCCAAGGCUGUGUCUUCUUGAUCAAUGGACUGCUUCUAAAAUCCUCCAAAAGUAACUUAAUAACACAGUUCACUAAUGCUUAAAGUGCACUAAUGGAGCGGAGAAACAUCUAUUUCUCACACACUCCCUUGGAGUUCUAUUUGAUUAA
Molecule: long non-coding RNA, 1500 nt
Organism: Acanthopagrus latus (yellowfin seabream)
Lineage: Eukaryota; Metazoa; Chordata; Actinopteri; Spariformes; Sparidae
Exons: 2
Source: RefSeq, a predicted model, not a curated record